GAUGAAGAACGUAGCGAAAUGCGAUAAGUAAUGUGAAUUGCAGAAUUCAGUGAAUCAUCGAAUCUUUGAACGCACAUUGCGCCCGCCAGUAUUCUGGCGGGCAUGCCUGUUCGAGCGCCAUUUCAACCAUCAAGCCCCAGGCUUGUGUUGGAGCCCUGCGGCUGCCGCAGCCUCCCAAAACCAGUGGCGGGCUCGCUAUCACACCGAGUGCAGUAGUUUACUCUUCGCUCAGGGCGUGUGGCGGGUGCUAGCCGUAAAACCCCCACCUUCUCAAGGUUGACCUCGGAUCAGGUAGGAAUACCCGCUGAACUUAAGCAUAUCAAUAAGCUGAGGA
RNAcentral lists this unclassified non-coding RNA (334 nucleotides) under soil metagenome. RNAcentral's name for it is "partial contains 5.8S ribosomal RNA, internal transcribed spacer 2, and large subunit ribosomal RNA". The stretch from base 1 to 120 matches the Rfam family "5.8S ribosomal RNA", at positions 35 to 154 of the family's 154-position model. The record is from RNAcentral.